CCAAUAGCGUAUAUUAAAGUUGUUGCAGUUAAAAAGCUCGUAGUUGAAUUUCGGGAUCAAUAUUUCGGUCAUGCCGUUGGUAUGCACUGUUAUCAUUGAUUUCUCACCUUCUAAAGAACCGUAAUGCCAUUAAUUUGGUGUUACGGGGAAUUAGGACUGUUACCUUGAAAAAAUUAGAGUGUUUAAAGCAGGCUCACGCUUGAAUACAUUAGCAUGGAAUAAUGAAAUAGGACGUUUGACCCUAUUUUGUUGGUUUCUAGGAUCGACGUAAUGAUUAAUAGGGAUAGUUGGGGGCAUUAGUAUUCAAUUGUCAGAGGUGAAAUUCUUGGAUUUAUUGAAGACUAACUACUGCGAAAGCAUUUGCCAAGGAUGUUUUCAUUAAUCAAGAACGAAAGUUAGGGGAUCGAAGACGAUCAGAUACCGUCGUAGUCUUAACCAUAAACUAUGCCGACUAGGGAUCGGAUGAUGUUAAUUUUUUAAUGACUCAUUCGGCGCCUUACGGGAAACCAAAGUGUUUGGNUUC
RNAcentral lists this ribosomal RNA (523 nucleotides) under uncultured Glomus. RNAcentral describes it as "SSU rRNA". It matches the Rfam family "Eukaryotic small subunit ribosomal RNA", at positions 591 to 1114 of the family's 1831-position model. The record is from RNAcentral. Lineage: Eukaryota; Fungi; Glomeromycota; Glomeromycetes; Glomerales; Glomeraceae.